RNAcentral lists this unclassified non-coding RNA (1170 nucleotides) under Hevea brasiliensis (rubber tree). The record is from RNAcentral. Lineage: Eukaryota; Viridiplantae; Streptophyta; Magnoliopsida; Malpighiales; Euphorbiaceae.
CCAGCUACUUCUCGCUCCCAGAAGCCUCCCGUUUGGUCCCUUCGAAAAUUUUGUUGCUUUGGAGCUCAGUAAAACUCGACAACGUUGCUGCAUCAACUCAACUGAGUCAAGAGUUGAAUGCAGCAUGCAUCGAUUUAGAAGCAAAGGGACCUUACCCUUUGGUUCCUUGGCAAUUCCCCAUUUGAAGAAGAAGGCUCUUAAUUCGUGGUCUGCUGUUCAGGACACCUAUUUCACUACCAAGGACUUAUUUGAGAGGCAUAGGGUGGUGUUUACAGUCGGAACUUCUUUAGCAUCAGUUGCUACAGCAUGGGUUGGAUAUUCCUUACGUCAUCUUCGUGAUUCAAAAGUUGAUCAAAGACUUGAAUCAAUUGAAAAUGCUAUGAAAAGCAAUUAUCAUCUUGAACAUGCUGAAUUUAAAAAGCUUGUGGAUCCUGGGAGUUCCAGUGUUGCUGCCUGUAUUGCUACUGCUGGGACAACAUUUGUUGUUGGGUAUGGCUUUGGUUGGCGAGGCGGAAGAUGGUAUGCAAAUAGGAAGUACAGAAAGGAACAGAUGAAAUUACUAGGGCAGAUAAAGCCUAAAAGGUGGCAGUUGUUGGCACGCAUGAGACCUAAGGAGUGGCAAUUCCAGUUUAUUAAAAGAGGAUUUCCUAGAUACAGAGCCUCCGAAUGUGAAGGUAAAGCAUCUGAAAAGAUGCUGAAGGAUGCUCCUACAACAAAUAAUCCUGGAGAAUUCCAUCGGUCUUGUUAGAACAACAUCAGUCCCUGCAUUUUUUUUUUUUUUUUUUUUUGCGUAGAUAUCCUNNNNNUAUAGGAAAAGAGAUUAUAUAUGUAGUUUCAAACUUAUUGAAGAAUGUCUUCUAAACUGGCAGUUUGGAUGUGAUGCAUUAUGUCAUCAUCUUUUUCUCUUUGUCCUGCUUUUAGUGGGAUAUGUCAGAUGUCCUUGUCCUCUUCAUACAAUUUUAUUCUGAGAAUCUGAGUAUUUGAGAUAAAAUUGUAUGAAGAGGAAAACGACAUCUGACAUAUCCCACUAAAAGCAGGACAAAGAGAAAAAGAUGAUGACAUAAUGCAUCACAUCCAAACUGCCAGUUUAGAAGACAUUCUUCAAUAAGUUUGAAACUACAUAUAUAAUCUCUUUUCCUAUAAUCUCAGGAUAUCUACGCAAAAAAAAAA